This 246-nucleotide unclassified non-coding RNA is filed under the name uncultured fungus. RNAcentral's name for it is "sequence contains ITS1". The stretch from base 1 to 117 matches the Rfam family "5.8S ribosomal RNA", at positions 49 to 154 of the family's 154-position model. Lineage: Eukaryota; Fungi. The record is from RNAcentral.
UGAAAGGCGAAACGUAAUGUGAAUCGCAACUAACAGUGAAUCAUCGAAUCUUUGAACGCAGGCCGCACCUUGCAGUAUCACUCUGUGUUACUGCAAGGUAUUUACGUGUGAGUGUCAGCCUAAUAUCCAUUUGGUUCAUGAGGGGAUAUCUAAUCAACUCGUGAAUGCACACAUGUCAAGAGACAUAUCUCUGGAGACAAAUUGUGUGUCUGGCCUCACAUGUGAAAGGUUACCCGCUGGAUUUAA